GGGCCGCAGCGCCCCCUGGUGGCGGCGGGGCCGCGAGCAACGGGACCGGCCCGGAACCUGCAACUGCCACCGCCGGGACCUUCAUCCCCGAACUACAGAAGAACUCCAUGGGUUUUGCUAACACACUUUCCUACGUGGUCUGUCAGUCAGUUCAGCUUCUCAAGGUGCUGAAAUCCUGCCCGGGGAGGCUCGAGCAGCCUAAAAGUGACAUUGCUGUUUUCAUGCAAUUAUACUUUUAUGGUGCCCAUUAUGUGUGGAUUUCAAAGCACUUGUGCAAGAAAAUUAGUGAGAUGAUUGAGACUGAACAGUAAAUCAAAAGGAGAGCAAAAGAUUGCCUUGCACAAAGCCACACAGCAGGUUCCUGGUGCUCCUGGUCUGUGACUCCUCAGAUCACACCAGAAUGUUCCACGAUGUUGUUCCAUCACCUUGUGUCACGAGAGGAGCUGGAGCAGCAGGAGAGGUGCCCAAAGAGCCUGUGGGAAUUUCUGCCCUGAAGAUCUUCAGAACUUGACAAGGCACUGAGCACCUUGACUAACUUUGCAAUCAGCCCUGCUCUGAGGAGAUGAGAUCAUGGGCUCCACAGGGCCUUCCCAACCUCAGUUAUACCCAGGGUGACAUAAAUCAUAUGGAGAUAUUCUGACCGUGUGUCAAGGGAAGAUUUACACUUUUAUCCACUUGAAAUAUAUUUUAGGCCAGAAUAAUAUGGAUUAACAACACACAUUCAGUCAAUAGAUGAAGUAGCAGCUUGUCUGGACUGGCUCUGAGUCCUUGGAAAAAUACUUGUUGGGGUGUGUAAGGGACCCAAAUGUCCCUUUUGUGCCCACCCAGCCUCAGGAGUCCUUUAGCUCACCCUGCAAAUAGUUACACCAAUAUUUAACAUCAUUGCUGGCAACAGCUCCACUCAAAGACAUCUUUUACAGAUGCUUGAAUAUUUUAAUAAUAUAAAACCCAAGUUGCAACAGCUGAAAAUAUUAGAAGAUGCAUUUAUUGUAUCAUUGGCAUCAUCUUUACUGCAAGUGGAUCAGUUUUUGGUUAUCUUGCUUGUUUCCAAGCAUUUAAGCUACAUCACAGUGAAAACCUAGUGCUAAUAUGGUAACUAAACGUUUUCCAUAAAAGAUUAACUAUUGAUUUCUCAGUCCUUUAUCAGAACAGGUAAAAAAUACAAAUGAAAUACUAAGGCUAGCACUGAAAAAUCAAGUUACUAAGGCUUUCACUAUAAAAAUUGUGUCAUUAGCAGAAAUGGGGGUUCUGCUCACUUACCUGAAUAAUACACCAAAAAUUGUCCAACUGUGAACAGAAGCUAAAUUUUGUCUGUACCUGCUUAGUUCAGCAGUGAGUACUUAGAGUAACAAAGAUUUGCCUCCUACAUGCAGCAGUGUUUUACCAGUGUUUUCUGGCACAGGUACAUUUUUCUGCACAUGCAGCACAUUAAAAACAUGACAAAAUAUUUUAUCUGCUUUAAACAUUUCACUUAUUAAGAGAAAACAAAUUCAGACACAACAACAUUAACACUUAGCAGUUUUGGACAUAAAAUAGCAGUUUGGACUUAGCAGUACAGUCAUUUCAUACAAGGGUAAGGCAAACUAUAAAAAGUUAAAUCAAAACUUACAUGUAUCAAAUGCUCAAGAAGGUUAAAUUAAGUUUAAAAAAUAAUUUUUGCUGAUAAGCAUUUUGUUGCCUAUGUAUAAAAGAAACUGUCAAAUAAGAGUAAAUGAAAUUUUGAGUUAUCACUGGAAAACAUGAGUCCAAGACAAUCUAAAUUUCCAAGGGCAUAUGUUCUUGCUGCUAUAAAGGCUGUUCUUCACUAUUCUGCAACAAAAUCCAAAGUACUCUUGGACAAUAUUAUUGAUGAUCUUUGGAGUUUUUUUGCAUCUAUAAAAUGGAGAUAAAAGAGAAAAUAUCAAAACAACUGUUGACACUGCACAAUUAUAGAACACCUUGCAGUAGACAAAGGCUCGUCACUUAACCACUCCAAGGCAGGGCACCAGUGCUCCCUGGAUCCAAAGGACAGCAGCAGUGCUCCCUGGAUCCAAGGCACAGCAGCAGUGCUCCCUGGAUCCAAAGGACAGCAGCAGUGCUCCCUGGAUCCAAGGCACAGCAGCAGUGCUCCCUGGAUCCAAAGGACAGCAGCAGUGCUCCCUGGAUCCAAGGCACAGCAGCAGUGCUCCCUGGAUCCAAAGGACAGCAGCAGUGCUCCCUGGAUCCAAGGCACAGCAGCAGUGCUCCCUGGAUCCAAGGCACAGCAGCAGUGCUCCCUGGAUCCAAGGCACAGCAGCAGUGCUCCCUGGAUCCAAAGGACAGCAGCAGUGCUCCCUGGAUCCAAGGCACAGCAGCAGUGCUCCCUGGAUCCAAGGCACAGCAGCAGUGCUCCCUGGAUCCAAGGCAGGGCACCAGUGCUCCCUCUCCUUUCCCAGACAGCACCUCUGUGUGAGGCCUGUACUGAUCAACCCCCAGGAAACUGCUGGAGAGUCACAAACCAGCACCAGGAAAAGAGGCUGAACAGAGGAAAUACCAACUUCCUGAUAAACACAGGGAUUAGUUCAGAGUCCUGAGCUGACACUUGUUCUCUUUGUACCCUGGCAGGUUCAAAGGCUCUCUGAUAUUUUCCUACUCUAGCUCUCUCUCUCCAAGCACAAGCCCUGAUGGAAUUACAUAAGAGACCAUUCCCAUUGGUAGCACAGCACUGAACUGACACAAAGCACAAUGCCAUGGGCUGCAAAUCCUGAAAGCCUGCUUUUUCUGCAAAUCAGUUCAGGGGCAAGUUAUGAAAACUGAGCUCACAGCAUUUAGAACUCAUAGAAAAUUAGACUGUGACUACCUGCUUCUGUAACCUGUAGUACUUCUUGGAAAGAUCAACAUUUGUCCGUCCUUUCUGAAAUGGGUAAGACCACAAAAUUAAAUUCCAGUGAUUACCCAUUUCCUUUACUCCAUUCAAAAGACAGUUAAUUUCUUCAGUCGUGAAAUCUUUUCGGGUUCUUCUUCUUCUCUCGUUCAAGGUUCUCGUGUUCAUGUCCAGGGGACAUAUUUCAUUGCUCUGCAAAUAUUUAUUUUGGUGUAAUUACAAAUGAUGUCAAUCUACAGACUAUUUGGUAUGUGGAAGUAGGGUAUUACUGGCAAUACACCCUUGAGCAGUUGUAAAGAAAUGAUCACACAGUCAAGGCGACAAUGGCUCUUCAAGGUUUCUUCACUGUCACUGAAAUACAGUAUUUUUCUGUGAUCUUUACCUUUGUUCCUGUUGUACCUAUACAGUUUAAUAAACCUUUAGUAGGUUUAUGCCUUCAGGUUUCUGUUAUUUCUAUACUGUGCAAGCUUUCAUCAACACAGGAAAAAUCAUACCUCCAUAUCCAUUAUUCAGAAAAGAGUGUCAGCUGAAAAAUGCUUAACUCAGUUUAGGAUAAAUCACUAUGACUGGAGUAGAAUCAACCGAGCAAUAUCCUUUUAAUAAGGUUCAUUUUGCUACUGGGCUCCUGUUAAAAGUGACUUAAAAAGAAACUGUGCAAUUCCCAGUGCUUUUGUUUGGACAGCUACAGCUAUGUGAGUGUAUGAUUAGGCUUUGAACAACUCACCUCAUCUUUCUCAAGUGCAUGGAUGCAAUUUUCUUGGAAGUGCUGACAUUGGUUGCACAUUUCUUUGACUCCUUGUCUCUUCAAGUUGGCAUCUUGGGUUUUUUGUAAAGCUGUGGAAUUGGGAACAGGGAGGCUCUUGGUUACUUUAAACUAACUGAAAUCUACUGGAAAGCUAAAUGUAGUGCUUAAAGGAGCAUUUCUUUUAAUGAACCUGAAUAUGUAAAUGUUGCUGUAUUAGUAAUAUCUCAUUCCCCUUAGAUCUUUUUCUCAUAAUUGACAUUAACACAGGAGGAUUAUUUAUGCAUUGGAAGCAACGAGCAAGUAGUAGCACUACUGAUGUUUGAGUAACUCCCAUGAUUAAAGCUGUAAGAGUUUAUUUAAAUCCUUAGCCAUUUGUCCCCAAUAACAAGACAGCUGCUUCUCUUAAUGCCCUGACCUAAAUGCAAACCUGAUCUUUAAGUUAUGCACAUUAGAGAAUUGAUUUUCUGGUAAUACUCACACUUUCCAUAGGCAGGUGUCAAGUUAUAAUUGCCAGUCCACCUAAUAUUUUUAUGAUGUUCAUCUCUGUUUGAAGUAUUAGGCUUGGUUUUUCUACUUGGAGUCAACAGAAUACCUUAAAAGAAAUCCCAAACAAUAAAGUAUUUCACGUCUUUCUUAGGAAAAAACAAAUCACAAAACACAAGUCAUGUUUUAGGAAUUAAAAUUUAAGGGAGAACAAUCUUUUGAGCCAUAUACUACCAUGUGGUCUUGGAAGAAAGCCUGGGAAAUUCAGUUUACUUCAGUUUACAGAAAAUGUUUACUUGCUAAAGUUAAUAUAUUGCUACAAAGGACCCUCAAGAUAAAAUAUAGUUGUGUUUUGGGGAUUAUUUUAAAUUUUAAAAUACCUAUCACAGACAAAUUAAUUUCUGAAUCUGGAGAGGAAAAAUAUAAACAAAUUUAUAAAUCAAUCAACCAGCUUUUACUGGAAAUUAAUUAAAUAAGGAACCAUGUAAAGAAGGUUUUUGAAAAUAAAAUAUUAAAAAUAAAUUGUGGAUGGGUGGGCUGACUUUUCAAAAGAGAAUGCAUUUUAAAGGAAUAUUAAGAGUUGAGAAUUGAAGUACUGAUUUAGAGAACUGCUUCAGCCUACUUGAAACAUUCUGGUCAUCAAUCAUAAGAGACAGUAUUGGUUACUAGUUGGUGAAGGUAGUAAUUAUGACUGUAGGUGGAGCUCUGCAGGUGCCCAAACCCACCACAUUCUGAAAAAAAUGGCUGCUGAGUGAUGUAAAAAUAUAUAUCAGCAGAGUAAGGGGAAAAAUAACAUUAAUGGUUUUGCUAUAUUACAGAAUAAAAUCUCUAAAAGGUAUGGACUCUGCUACAAAUGGGGCACUUGUGUGUUAUAAAGAACACUAGGUUUUAUGGGCAACUGAUGGUUCUGCAAACACAGGUUCCUAAACUGCACUGCAGAAACUGGUGGAAUUUAUAUUCCCUUUCCCAUCUCUACCUUGUUAAUAACUUCUUAUUCAAAACUUCCCAGCAAAUAAGUAGAUAACAUUUUCUGGCAUACUAAUAUAUAGAUUAUUCACAGAAUUUGGAGAAGAAAAGAAGCCACCAUAAUUCUCUAUCCAUGGUAAAGUUCUGCAAAAGACUAACAGAAAAUAAUGGCUUUUUGCAUUAAUUGCCAAAUCCAGCCCUUACUUUGGAAACUAUCCUUUUUGCUCCUAAAUGUUGAUAUUUCUGUAUGCAGCCCAUCUUUCCUCACUGGGGCCAGCAUUAUUUCUGGAAAAUAUAAGAUGAACACCAGUACAAAUGUCAGUACAUUUUUGGACCAGCAGGAUUCACCUCAUGGGAUUUCAAUGCUUCAGAAUUGGCUGGAUUUGAGGAUCCAUCCACAAACACUCCUCCUUGCAGUCCUUCCUGUAUUGAAAAAUAGUUUGUGACUAUAUGAGCUCUACAGAAUCUUAAAUAAAUCCAGUAACAAGAUUAACUAAUAGACCAGUUUAACUCUGAAGGUAAAGCAAAUCCCAAAGAAGCUUCAGAAGCCCCUGACUGAGCAGAGAGCCCCAGGACAGCAGUGCUGCUGGAGGUGUUCAUGGGAAAGUCAUUAAGGAAUUUGCUACUGAUGCGAGGCACUGCUAGAAAUGAGCUUAAGAGCCAUCUAAGUAACUCAUAAACUCACUGUUCCAAACCCAGGGAUACCAAGCAGCUAAAAAGCACAAGGAAAAUAUGAAACAACCUUAUUUCAGUCUAUGUUCACAUCCUCCUUUAUCAUCUGUCCCACCAUAGCUGUACAAUCAUGGGCAUUUCAUGCAUGCAAAUAUUAAAAUUAUAGGUUUGAAUGUCCAACAAUUACAAAUAAAUUGAACUUCUUGUUUUGCCAACCUAAUUAUCUCUAUUUUGUAGAAAAUCUGGGUUUAUAAUAAACUAAAAUGCUUCAUAA
Molecule: long non-coding RNA, 5982 nt
Organism: Pseudopipra pipra
Lineage: Eukaryota; Metazoa; Chordata; Aves; Passeriformes; Pipridae
Exons: 3
Source: RefSeq, a predicted model, not a curated record